Molecule: long non-coding RNA, 310 nt
Filed under: Elaeis guineensis (African oil palm)
Lineage: Eukaryota; Viridiplantae; Streptophyta; Magnoliopsida; Arecales; Arecaceae
Description: long non-coding RNA (EGUI_LNC056634)
Source: RNAcentral
AGUACUGGGGGUCAGACUAAAAAGUCCAAGUCUGAUCAGAGUUAGACAGAGUGCUUCUAUUAUAGGAGGCAGGAUCAGUAGAAGAAGAACCAUCCUCAAUAUAUAACUUUUCUUGAUCCAAACAGACAAAAGAAGAAGAAGCAAUCGGUUGCUGGGUAAAAUAAUUAUAUAAUAAUACCUUGCAACUUCUCUAUUUGUGAUACAAUGAUCUAGGUAUUAGAUACUGGUUGUCCUAUUAAUAUUUAUAAUUCGUUAUAGGGACUUCAAGUCAGUAAGAGAUUUGAAGAUGGUGAGAGAUUUCUAAAUGUCG